UCCCUGCUCAAGAAGAACUCCCACUGGAAACUUUUGAACCAAGUGGGAAGAUUGUCUCGGCCUGUUCCUGUCCUGUGAAUAGAUAAUGCUGGAGUAUGGAAGGCUAUCUGUCGCUUUUCAUCAGCAUUAAGUUCACUGAAACAAAAAUAGUAAUGGCUAGCCUAUCUCUGACUUUUCACGUUCAGCCUAGGUUGAUGAGGCUGCUCACUGAAAGAGUGCUGCCUGACCUCGUGGGCAUCCUGUAUUAGAUGCCCAAGCAAGCCACAGACUUUGGAAAGAACAGCAUCAGCUAUCAGAGAUUCCUCUUUCAUGAAAGGAAACUUGCCACUGAAAUUAGGAUUCCAGAGACAAAAAGGGCACUUCCUGUUUGCACUGCUGAAAGUGCACAUCCUCAUUGGUCCAUCCAGUCAGCCUCUAGUCUAACCAGCAGAUCCUGCAUCAUCCUUGGAAGACAUCCAAGACAAGACCAUAGCUGGUGGGGAUGA
RNAcentral lists this long non-coding RNA (485 nucleotides) under Gopherus agassizii (Agassiz's desert tortoise). RNAcentral's name for it is "lncRNA (ENSGAGG00000013725.1)". Lineage: Eukaryota; Metazoa; Chordata; Testudines; Testudinidae. The record is from RNAcentral.